This 72-nucleotide transfer RNA is filed under the name Marmota marmota marmota (Alpine marmot). It matches the Rfam family "tRNA". From Rfam's summary of the family: Transfer RNA (tRNA) molecules are approximately 80 nucleotides in length. Their secondary structure includes four short double-helical elements and three loops (D, anti-codon, and T loops). Lineage: Eukaryota; Metazoa; Chordata; Mammalia; Rodentia; Sciuridae. RNAcentral also lists the same sequence under 2 other names. The record is from Rfam by way of RNAcentral.
GGGGAUGUAGCUCAGUGCUACAGUACUUGCCUGGCAUGUGCAAGGCCCUGGGUUUGAUUUCCAGCAUCACCC